GACGCGCACUGUAUAGCUGCAUAAGCUGCUCGUAGGGCACGUCCAGCAUCUGGUCCAGGCCCACACCGCGAAAAAAAGGUUUACCACAGUGGCUCAAGGAAAACGGAACCAGAGUAAGACAGUUUCUACUUGGACUUGGGGAACCAGCAAACUCAUUCACUUACAAUCAAGAACAAACCGAUUAAAUUGAAUAAAGGUCACUCAAAGGAGCCAAGCCCCUUUGUCAAAUCAGGAGCUCCAUCAGCCAAUCAGGAACCCAGAUGCCAGCGUGGGAGUUUGUCAGUGGAAAUAACAUUGCAUGACUUCCAAGUCUGGGUAAAGUGGAGUCAGAAGAAGAACCAAACGCUGAUUCGAACAUCUGGUAGAUGGAUCAUAAUUACAGCAGAGUUGCUGGGCAGAUAAGGCUGAAGACACGUAGAAGAAAACAACUAUUGGGUGAAUUUUGUGAGCAUUGAAAUGACACAGCACAGGGGAGCUAUAAAGGGGAGUUAUGACUUUGUUCCUGUUUUUAAAUCCACACUUUGCUGGUUCAAGAAUUGCUUUAAGAUCAUACUUUUGAUCUUCCGUGCACUCCUGAAGUAGGAAAAACACUGACUAGAAGGUCAAAGUCAUAAUACUACUGUAUGGUUGAUUUGAGGGGACUUCCUAGCUGUCCACCCAGUGCAUGAAUUCUUCUCUGCAACAUCCAUAUGUAAUGGCUAUCUGUGUUUUCUUUUGACUUCCUUCAGUGAUGUGAAACUUACCCUGAAUGAGACCUUCUUCUCCUAGGAAUACAAAAAGUUAAUAAUAAUAAUAAUAAUAGUUAUUAUCAAUUUAGCAUUUAUUAAAUACCAGACAUUGGAAUACAACCUUUACCUGCAUGUCGUUUAAAUUCAUUCUAAGUAUUAUCAACCCAUUUUAGAGAUGAAGUAAUCAAGACAGCAUUAAGAAACUUCCACAAGAACAGAGAACUACUUGGUUCUGUAUGAUUCUAGAGGCUGCGCUCCUAAUCUGUGUAGAAUACCACUUCCUUCAAGUAUAUACACAUUUUUAGUCUUGCAGAAUAAGCUGAUUCCACACAGGUGUCAUCUUCACUUUCUCACCUCCUGUUCCACUCCUUCUCUUCCAGGAGGCAUUUUUAGCCCAGUUUAACAUUUCUAGUUGUCAGGGCUAUUUCUCAUAUGACUUAACUUCUAUUGCCUCCUCUCUUUCCCCUGAGUAUUCUCUUAAAAUCUCGCACUCAGAACAAAAUGUAAUAAUUUUGAAGAGGUCUGGCCACUUUUCCUGGAAGCUAUACUUCUAUUUACAUGGACUGAGAUGAAAUGACCUUUGGUCUUAGGUCAUAUUUUGGAAGUGCUAAGUUGUAU
Molecule: long non-coding RNA, 1346 nt
Filed under: Homo sapiens (human)
Lineage: Eukaryota; Metazoa; Chordata; Mammalia; Primates; Hominidae
Description: HSALNT0218606
Source: RNAcentral